AAAUCAAACGAACAAGGUAAUAAAGGGUUGAAGAUUGGUAUUAAAUAU
Molecule: non-coding RNA, 48 nt
Filed under: Trypanosoma brucei brucei
Lineage: Eukaryota; Euglenozoa; Kinetoplastea; Trypanosomatida; Trypanosomatidae
Source: RNAcentral